RNAcentral lists this unclassified non-coding RNA (90 nucleotides) under Pseudomonas jessenii. The record is from RNAcentral. Lineage: Bacteria; Pseudomonadati; Pseudomonadota; Gammaproteobacteria; Pseudomonadales; Pseudomonadaceae.
UGUGAGAGCGAGCUUGCUCGCGAUGACCGCCUGGCAUCCAACAUUGAUUUUGACUGACAGUCCGCUAUCGCGAGCAAGCUCGCUCCCACA